Long non-coding RNA from Gigantopelta aegis, 145 nucleotides. RefSeq lists it as uncharacterized. The record is from RefSeq and is a predicted model, not a curated record. NCBI's taxonomy places the organism in Eukaryota, Metazoa, Mollusca, Gastropoda, Neomphalida, Peltospiridae. The transcript is spliced from 4 exons.
GAAAUCUUGUGAUUCAAAGUAUUGGCAAACGAGACAUAUAUCUGUAAAAGUGGUGUCGUGAUCUGUGUGUAAAUUGAAGAGCUGCACACAGCAGGUAGAAUGUGAGAUUACUGUAAAACAAAGGGAAAAUAAAACAUCAAUUCAC